RNAcentral lists this ribosomal RNA (257 nucleotides) under uncultured bacterium. RNAcentral describes it as "partial 16S ribosomal RNA". It matches the Rfam family "Bacterial small subunit ribosomal RNA", at positions 333 to 587 of the family's 1533-position model. The record is from RNAcentral.
GCUAGCCUACGGGACGCAGCAGUGAGGAAUAUUGGUCAAUGGGCGGGAGCCUGAACCAGCCAAGUCGCGUGAAGGAAGAAGGUACUUAGUAUUGUAAACUUCUUUUGUCGGGGAACAAAGGCGGAGACGCGUCUCCGGAUGAGUGUACCCGAAGAAAAAGCAUCGGCUAACUCCGUGCCAGCAGCCGCGGUAAUACGGAGGAUGCGAGCGUUAUCCGGAUUUAUUGGGUUUAAAGGGUGCGCAGGCGGGGGAUCAAG